RNAcentral lists this long non-coding RNA (567 nucleotides) under Cavia porcellus (domestic guinea pig). RNAcentral's name for it is "lncRNA (ENSCPOG00000030966.1)". Lineage: Eukaryota; Metazoa; Chordata; Mammalia; Rodentia; Caviidae. The record is from RNAcentral.
CUCUAUUGUGACUUCAACCAUACCCAGGAGCAUUUGGUUACUUGUGUCUUUCCCAUUCUGCCUCACUAUCAAUAGGAUGGGUUUCUCCCUGGAAACUCCAGAGCUUCACGCCAGUGUGGGUUGGCCUCAUCAUCCCUUGUGCUCAGGCAGAGGAGGAAACAGCCGACAGUCUGGCCAGAGUCUCCCCAUCUUUCCAGAAUGAAAGUCCGAUUUGCUGAAAGGAGACUACAAAAUCAUGAAUGGAGGAGGGAAUGAAUGAAUGGGCGAGUGCUGGAGAGACGGAAGGAUGAGUGAAUAGCUGACUCUAUCUGCAAAACUUGGUAUUACUAGAAAACCAGUUUUAUUUUAAUAUGGCCAAAAUAUUUGGAGGUUAAGGUCACAGAAGUUUAAAUUAUUCAAUAAGAAAUUUGAAGCCAAAAUCAUGGCAUCAAAAUCCAGAAUCAUUCCUAUAAUGAUAAGUUCAGAGUUACUAAACUGUAGAAAAUAUGCCAAUGCUCAGGCACUGUAUAUUAUUUGAAAUGUCUGGAUUGGUUGGGGAUUUUUAAAAUAAAAAUACAAUUCUUCAAU